GAGUUUGAUCCUGGCUCAGAUUGAACGCUGGCGGCAGGCCUAACACAUGCAAGUCGAGCGGAUGAGAGGAGCUUGCUCCUUGAUUCAGCGGCGGACGGGUGAGUAAUGCCUAGGAAUCUGCCUGAUAGUGGGGGACAACGUUUCGAAAGGAACGCUAAUACCGCAUACGUCCUACGGGAGAAAGCAGGGGACCUUCGGGCCUUGCGCUAUCAGAUGAGCCUAGGUCGGAUUAGCUAGUAGGUGAGGUAAUGGCUCACCUAGGCGACGAUCCGUAACUGGUCUGAGAGGAUGAUCAGUCACACUGGAACUGAGACACGGUCCAGACUCCUACGGGAGGCAGCAGUGGGGAAUAUUGGACAAUGGGCGAAAGCCUGAUCCAGCCAUGCCGCGUGUGUGAAGAAGGUCUCCGGAUUGUAAAGGCACUUUAAGUUGGAGGAAGGGCUGCAAGUUAAUACCUUGUAGUUUUGACGUUACCAACAGAAUAAGCACCGGCUAACUUCGUGCCA
RNAcentral lists this ribosomal RNA (506 nucleotides) under uncultured Gammaproteobacteria bacterium. RNAcentral's name for it is "bacterial SSU rRNA". It matches the Rfam family "Bacterial small subunit ribosomal RNA", at positions 9 to 510 of the family's 1533-position model. The record is from RNAcentral. Lineage: Bacteria; Pseudomonadati; Pseudomonadota; Gammaproteobacteria.